UGACGUUCGUCAUCCACACCAAAUUCAAGUUCAUCCCCAACACCCUCGUUAUGAAGGUGGCGUGAAAACUCUUCUUCCUCAAAAAGGUCCUUCAGCUACCCAAGUUCUAGCCAUUGUCACACUUCUUCCUGUCGGCGGGACGCUCUUGGGGCUCGCCGGCUUGACGCUUAUCGGGACGAUUAUAGGCCUUUGCGUUGCUACUCCGGUGUUUUUACUCUUCAGCCCGGUUCUUGUUCCAGCUGCUCUCGCUGUUGGCCUAGCUGUCACUGGAUUCUUGACUUCAGGUCAUUAUUGAACUUCCUUCAAAUACUACUAAUUUUUUAGAUGUACAAACAAAAAAAUUAUUUAAUCCAGUAAUAUUAGACAGAGCCAAGAUUUAAAGUUUAUGGGUUCAAAAGUCUUCGUCCUUUUAAAUUACUUUUAAUUAAAUAAAUUUCUUAAAACUAAUAUAAAGUUUGGACCAAACUUACUGAAACCGCAUAUAAGACUCUAUCCCACCACCGGUGGUGUAAAAAUUGCUUUAGGUCAUAUGUUUAAAUAUAAUGACAGCUGUAGCAUUCUUAGCAAUUCUUUUUUAAAUAUACAUCCCUUUGAUAUAAGUGAUUUAGUGUCGUGGUGAAUGUGGUUUACAGGUUGCUGUCAGUGAUAGGUUUAAUUAGAGGUGUGACAUUCUUUCAAUUUCUUCUUGGAAUUGUUUUAAUAAUAUAUUAGUGGUUGUAUUUUCUGACAUAACUUAAAGCUUUUAGUGUAGGGGCAAAUGUGAGUUAAAAAUUGCUUUAGGCUCAAUAACACAGGUGUAGCUUUCUUGAUUUUUUUGAGUUGGUCUUAUUAGAAUUUCUAACUCUUUAUCACUGCUUUAGGUGCCUUUGGAUUAACGGGGCUGUCAUCACUUUCUUGGAUUGUCAAUUACUUUAAGCAAGGGAGGACUGUUACUGAGCAAUUGGACUACACAAAGAGGCGGAUGCAAGAACGAAUU
This 976-nucleotide long non-coding RNA is filed under the name Nicotiana tabacum (common tobacco). RNAcentral describes it as "long non-coding RNA (NTAB_LNC014484)". Lineage: Eukaryota; Viridiplantae; Streptophyta; Magnoliopsida; Solanales; Solanaceae. The record is from RNAcentral.